Molecule: long non-coding RNA, 286 nt
Filed under: Dromaius novaehollandiae (emu)
Lineage: Eukaryota; Metazoa; Chordata; Aves; Casuariiformes; Dromaiidae
Description: lncRNA (ENSDNVG00000000079.1)
Source: RNAcentral
GAGAGGCCCGGGAGGCCUCGGGGGGUCGGAAAGCUAAACACAAAGUGGAGCUCUACUUGCACACAAAGUCAUUAACCAGUGUGAAAGCGAGGAGGAUUACUUUCACCAGCAACGUGUAUCGGUGAACAGCAAAUACAUGUGGAGAGGAACAACGUGUGCGGAGCAGGCGGAAGGAGCUUCUUUUGCAGCUGGUUUUAAGUCGAGGGGCCGCAAGCCUUGGGGCAGCGCUAGAGAGAAGCACAGCCUUCGGGCAGGACGCGCGUUUGCUCCUCUGAAGCUUCAGUGA